This is a long non-coding RNA of Amphiprion ocellaris (clown anemonefish), 1819 nucleotides long. RefSeq lists it as uncharacterized. NCBI's taxonomy places the organism in Eukaryota, Metazoa, Chordata, Actinopteri, Pomacentridae. The transcript is spliced from 3 exons. The record is from RefSeq and is a predicted model, not a curated record.
UGCCAAACACCCUGAAGUCUGCAGAAAAAUCCCACGCGGAACUGUAGAAAGACCGGGAGCUUCAGCCGUUAACUUUAAAUCGUGCUCUGCGUUACGACGAAGCCUUUUAUGAUUUUCUGUCGGCGUAAAAACUGAAUCUCGUGUGACAUAAUUAACCUCCUUCAGUCGGCGGUGGAAAGCUUCAGAUUCAGGAGAAAAAACAAAAGUCAAACCCAGAGGACAAACAGCAAGCUGUGAAACCGAUCAUUUAGAAUCGGAGAUAUUUAGAAGGUUGUUGCUCAGCAGCGAAGUCGCGUCAGGAUUCGGUGCUUCGGGUUCUCAGGUGGAGUUUUUCUGCAACUCUUUGCUUACCGCUGCAGGUGGAAGAACGAACGUCAAGUGAAGCUGAAGGAAAAAUCAUCAGCUUCCUCCUGGUUUGAAAAUCUACAAACAUCAUCUGGCAUCCAUGCAGCAAAUCCAUCCUCAACCCACUCAUCAAAAUCUAAUCAGGGAUGUACGCCUGAAACUGCAUCCAAAAAAUGCAGCAGGAAUCAGAAGCUGCAGAAGAUACAUGACGUUUCUCUGGAUGUGCAGGUGGAUCACGAUGCUCCAGUUUCAUCACAACGUUUCUGUGGUUUUUAAUGCGAACAUGAAACCAUCAAACUGCUCAUUAGCGAUUCUAAAUGUGUGGAGGUUGUUCUGGAGUUCUGGACUGGAGCCCAGCACUGAUGUCUCUUCACUGUUUCACUGGAACGUUGUUCCAGUCUCACAUUAGAGGAGUUAUUUCUCCAUGAAUUAACAAUAUAUUCAUCGGAUUUUCAUUUGAGCAGGCAAGCUGAUCGGAUAUUUAGUUAAUAAAAACGGUAAUAAGAAAAGGACUGCUAGCGAGGAACAGUCGAUGGAAUUAUUGCGGGAUAAUUAAACAUUUGCAUAAUUUGGCUUUGCUAAUUUUUAAUGAGGGAGGAAAAGCCAGAUUUAUGUAAAGCACACAGUAAAAAAUAUGAAAUCAUAUAAAAUAUACAUAUAUAGUUUCUUUAUUUUUAUUUAUAUUUAAUAUUUAUUUAUAUUUAAAAAAGUUAUAAAUAAAAUUAUAAAACAAAUAUCUAAUGUGAAAUAACAUUAAAAAUAAACUGGAAAAAACUAUAAAAUUAACAUUUUUAAUGUUUUUAAAUUAAAUUAAAAUCAAAUGCAUCGUUAAAUGCAUGUGCAGAUUUACUGGAAUUUCACAAAUAUUUUCUUCUAUAUUUUAAUUAUUAACUGAUGAUUAAAUCUGGGUUUAAAACUGUAAACAUAUUUCUAAAAUUCAAAACAAUUGCUGACGACAGAAAAAGAAAUACUGUGAGAUUUGUUUAUCUACAGAGACACGUCUGGCAUAAUUUCAUAUGUUUUUACAGCAGAAAUGUUGAAUGAAUGCGUUUUUAUUAAUGUAUAAUAUCUUGAAGCAGUGCUAAUCUGCAAAGUACAGUUUUUUAUCAUUAUAUAUUCCAUUUAUCAUGAUAUCUAUUUAUAUAAUUAUAUAAAUGUUAUACUGUAGGCAACUCCAGUGUUUAAACAUCUUUCAUUAAAUAUUAAAAAGCCAUAAAUAUAUGUUCUCGUGCAAAAAUAAAGCUGAAAAAUGUGUUUUAAUAAUAAAAAUCUUUAUUUUUUUUGAGACGGUUAUUUUCGGUCAUUUUACAGAACUGUUUUGGCACCUCAGCUGCUGGAAAAUCUGUGUUUUUAUCUGUUGUUUUAAAAAUGCAUUGAGUUUAAAUGAAAACCAUGAAAUCAGACCUAAAAUUGACCUUUUUAUGAACUCUGUGAACUUUCCCCACUGUGGGAUCAAUAAAGUCCUUAUCCUUAA